Molecule: long non-coding RNA, 6175 nt
Filed under: Chinchilla lanigera (long-tailed chinchilla)
Lineage: Eukaryota; Metazoa; Chordata; Mammalia; Rodentia; Chinchillidae
Description: lncRNA (ENSCLAG00000025079.1)
Source: RNAcentral
GACGAAAAGAACUAGUUUCGGAUACACCAAUUUAUGUUGCAUUUAAUUUUCGAAAGAUUUUUAUUGCUUUCUUUGCCUCACUUUAAAAGGCAACGAUAUAUUCAUAAAGCUGGACACCAAGCUGCAAACCACUUCCCACCUGUUCCUCACACACACCCUACGCUGGCGACAACAGAACUAACAUGACGGUACUUUCGAAUACGUAAGUAUUUUAGGUAUGGUCUCCUACCCAUCUUCAAGGAUUAAACCCUACGGCAGCACCUGACAAGGCUUCUCCUCCAACCUCCAAAUCCCACUUAGGUAACUGCCUUUCUCCUCUAUGCUCCCAGCACUUGGCCCCUGCGUUAUCAAUUGAGUCCAGGACAGGGCGGCUGGGCAUGCCCACCGUGGGCCCCAAGUCCGGAGCAGUAAAGCCACGUUCACAGGAACUUCGACAGGUAGGGGGAGCCUGGACUCGGAACCACGCCUUCAUUUGUCCUUAUAAAUCUCCAGAUUUGCCAGUAACCUCCCCUACCCUCUGAACCUCCCUGAGGCGCUCUAUCACCCUGAAUUCUCACAGCUACCGCCUUCAAGAGCCCCCGUGGCUCCAGCGUGCAGCUGAGGAAUUUCUCCGGAUCGCAGACGCCGGCCGAAGGAGUGAGGCCGGGAUUCGUGCCUGUUCUGAGUCCUGCGGCGCCCGUUUAGGCCUCCUCCAACCUUUCUCAUGGAAAGAGAUACGCACGCAACUUACAACGUACGAUCUUUUCUCUUUCUUUUAAAAUCACAACCUAUUGUCUUGUGACCCUAGCCUGUGCAGGGAGGACCCGAAAUACAGCAGCGGCCCAGGCGCGAGGGAGAGGCGUGCAAGACAGCCGGGUUUACCUGGGGACCCAGAGGUCGCACAAGCCUAAGAGGGAUCACGAGUCAGCCCUGCGGCGCGGCGACCUGAACUGAUGCAACGCCCUGGCAGCACCCGGCACAGAGCAACGGGCCACCUCCGCGCCGGCCAACCAGGAUGCGCGAUGUAACACCUACAAACAAUCUGGCUGGCGAUUGGCCUGGUGAUUCCUGGCCACACCCACUACCCGCAUCCAGAACUGCGGUGCACACUGGGAACGCGGCGUGGAGGUGGAACUUGGCCGGCGUUCCGGGUCCAGCGACCUGGCCGGGACGUCCAGCAGCCGCCCUUCGUGCAGCGCGGCUGGCUCGCUCACAUCUCAGGGCCCAGAACCUCUGGACAGCUGGAACAGGGUUGUUCUCUUCAUCUUAUUUUGAGUAUAAGCUGCUGAACAGCAAAAGGGAAAAAUGGAGCUUGGCACCCAAGCCUAUGAAGGAAACUUUGGGCCUUAACAUUUUGAGAGUAGUUCUGUAGGUAAGUGCCUAUUUUAUGUUAGAGACACAGGAAAGAUUAUCUGGCCUAGAGUAGGUAGAAAGCACUAAGUUUUGAUAGUCAUUUUAGCAUUUAUUCAAGAGUUACUAAGGUGCAGGCCCCUACUGAAUGUCCAGGAGUAAGUGAUUUCUUGUCUUGUCCCGCAAGGUUGCUUUACUCAGUGGAACACGUAUGUAUUUAGUAGUUGUGUCUUGGCGGGGGGUGGUGGGGGGAGGGGAUCGGUUCUUAUUAAGCUGCGGAGGCUGAUUUGGAACUCAGGCUUCAGUGAUUCUCCCACUUUAGCCUCUGGAGUAGCUGGGACUACUGGUGUGAGCCGUCGUGCCUAGCGCUUUAGUUUAUGUCUUAGUUACUUUCUCGUUGCUAGGAUAAAACACCCAACACCAGUUAAAGGAGGCAAGGCUUAUUUUAGCUCACUUUUUGCACAGGUUUCAGUACAUAGUCACCUGGCUCCAUGGCCGGGCAGCAUGGCAGAGGAGAAAAACAGUCAAUCAUAUGGCAGUCAAGAAGGAAAGAUACUUCCCUCUACCCCUUUUUGCUCCAUCCCAGCUACAGUUCUGUUUUUUGGUGUCACCCACACGCAGGGUGGAUUUUCUCUUCAGUACUUCCAUCAUCCACAUUCAGAACUACGCUACCUAAUUAGUCUACCCAAUCAGUAGACUAAGUGGCACCACACCCAUAAUCAACCACCUCUCAAAAGCCUACCUAUGAGCAUGAGGCUUUAAGGGGACAUCUAGAUAUAAACCAUAAUUUUAUUGAUUGGAAGUACUGGUAAUGUAUUUGACAUUUUUGCAUUCCUUUAGUUGCCACAUUGUGCAAAUGGUUUCUACCACCUAUUCACUGAGGAUUCCUAAACAGGUGUGCCCAGGGGAAAAAAGCUAUGCACGAGAUAGACUUCUUGGUCUUAUUUUUUGUUUUCUUUAAUGCUUUCUUUAUAUAUUUUUGGCAGCAAAACUGUUUCUUUAAAAAAAAAACAACUAGACUAUGAACACAUAUAAAAAGGCCAAUAUUAAAAGCAGCAUACUGGUUAUUUUUUGUGUAUGUGUGUCUUUUUGAGACAAGGUCUCACUAUGCAGUUCAGGCUGGCCGUCAGCUCACUUUGUAGCCCAGGCUGGUCUCGAGCUAACAAUCUUCCUGUCUCAGCCUCCCGAGUGCUGGGAUUACAGGCAUGUGGCACUACAUCCGGCAUACUUAAAGAUAUGUAAAAAGAAUCAAAUGCAACAGUGUAGGAAGACAAUUACCUCCUUUUUAGAAAUCACAGCUUCUUCCAAAUAAAGAAUGUGACCCAUCUGCAAUACUGAAUGAAUAUUUAUUUCAGGACAUGCCAUGUCAAAAUAGAGGAGUCAAUCCUUGCCUUUAACAAUAAUAUUAUAUUAUAAAAGCACUUUAUAACUCCAUCCUAUCUUUGGGUAUAAGUUAUAGGUAUGUGGGCUAAUGAUUAUCUGAAAACAUUUCUCUCUUCAGAUCCAUAAUCCAAGUGUUCUCUAAAUAUUACAAGGUGACAACAGUGAGAAGUGGAGGAAGAAGAGAAAGGAGUAAGGUUUUCCAAGUUAAGGGUUCUGUUGCAAUGAGCACAUGAACAAGUAUGAAGUUAUUUCUGUUGUGUUUUCAUCUUUAUACUGUGUUAAGUAAUGCUUACAACAUAAACUCACCAGGCUUUUUCUGAGCUAUAACUCAGCAACAUUUUGCCUGCAAACAAUGUAUUUGCAAAUGUAUUUUUUAACUUACACAGCAAUCUCACAAUAACAGGUAAAGAUUCAAAGGGUGUACUCCUAGUAUAUUUGUUUGCAGUGUGUUAGAGGGAAUACAUAUUGCCAUGGUGAUGAUGCUCUAAAUAGAGUCAACAAAAAAAAUCUAAAAUGAGUUUUAAAAAAUGGCAAGGAAAUAAAAAUCAUCAAAAAAGAUUAAUAUAAAAUAUAAAACUAAAUCACUAGUUAAUUAACCAAACUAUACAUAUCUAAUAAAAAGCAAGACCAGACUAAAAGACCCAACAUUUAAAAAAUGCUAAAAAAGCAUAAAUCUGCAUAAUAUUGACUAAUAUUUCCAUUCGCUCCUUUUCCUCUUCAAACUUGCUUUUCCUAAUAUGCUUCUGCAGUGAUAGCAAACUUUUCGAGCUUUCAAUGAUAUGAACAACCCACUGUAGCCCUAUAGGUUUACCACCACUGUUCUAGGGGCUAACAAGAAAAUUAUUUCCAGCCAGGAGUGGUGGUGCAUGCCUGUAAUCCCAGCACUCCGGAGGCUGAGACAGGAGGAUUGCUGUAAGCUCAAGGCCAGCCUGAGCUACAAAAUAAGUUUGAGGCCAGUCUGAACUGCAUAGUGUAACUCUUGUUUCAAAAUAAAAAAAAAAGAAAGAAAAUUAUUUCCAUCUUCAAUUUGACCUCAAAUGUCCAGAGCAGAAUAUCUGCUAUUUUGGCCAGGUGUGGUGGCACGUGCCUGUAAUCCCAGACUUGGGAGGCUGAGGCAGGAGGAUCCUUGUGAAUUCAAGGCCAGGCUGGGCUAUAAAGUGAGAUGAAGGCCAGCCUGAACUGCAUAGUGAGACCCUAUCUCAAAAAGACAAAAAAAAAAAAAAAAGAGAGAAAGAGAAUAUCUGUUAUUUUGCAAGGGUUCUUUGUUGGUAAGCUAUAAUUUGACCAUGGUGCCAAAUUUAAAUUCUUCCACUGGUUCAUCUUAAAGAGUUUGACAUUUACAAUGCCUUCCUUGCAUAGCAUUUUUUUUAAAAGCAAAAACAUAAACAAAAACUGUUGCUUAAGAUUCUUUAAAAAAAAAGCAAACAAUAAAUGUCUGCACAAUGUUAAAAUCCUAGAAGAAAUAGUUCACUAGAACUUUAUGAUUUUACCAUGAAGAAUUAACUGGUUACUUUUUUCUCCCAAAGCCUAAUAAAGCACAUGUGAGCCGGGUAUGGUGGUGCACGCCUGUAAUCCCAGCACUUGGGAGGCUGAGGCAGGAGGAUCAUUNNNNNNNNNNNNNNNNNNNNNNNNNNNNNNNNNNNNNNNNNNNNNNNNNNNNNNNNNNNNNNNNNNNNNNNNNNNNNNNNNNNNNNNNNNNNNNNNNNNNGCAAGGGUUAUUGGUUUGUCCCUUUUAGAAAUUCAAAAAAAAAAAAAAAAAAAAAAAAAGAAAAGCACAUGUGAGAGGGGCAUUCGUUUUGGUGAGAAAUACAUUUUAUAUUCUACAAUGAGUUCUGUGUUCAUUCGGACUCAUUUUGAAGAUACAGCAGAACCCUUUCCUCAUUCAAGUGCUGCGCACCAUGAUAGCUAAGUUUUGACUCAAGAAGGUCUAAGUGAUUUAUAUCUGCUCAAGAAUAAUUUUGGACAUUUUAGGCUAUUGCUGCAGCAAGUGAUAUAUGUAAAACUGAAAGAUAAUUCCAAUGGGCUUGAUCAGAAUGCUGUUUGCCCCUUGUUUGUUUUGUGGUAGAGUAGGAAUAGGAAAUGGGGGUAAGAGAGAGGUGAGAGAAGCAGUAAGAGACCAAAUAGGUAGGCAAAUGCUGUGAAAAUACUGCUCCUUAACCAAGCCACACAUACUGUUGACAUUUCCAUCAUUUUAUUUAUGUUUUUAUUUUAUUUUUGUCUUUUUGAGAUAGCGUCUCGCUGUGCUCUUCAGGCUGGUCUUGAGCUCACUUUGUAGUCCAGGCUGGUCUCAAAUUUGCAAUGAUCCUCCUGCCUCAGCCUCCGGAGUGCUGGGAUUACAGGCAUGCACCACCACAUGUGGCUAUCCAUCAUUUUAAAGUACCUUAUCAUAACAUUUCUUUUUUUUUUUGUCUUUUUGAGACGGGGUCUCCCUCUGCAGUUCAGGCUGCCGUUGAGCUUACUUUGUAGCCCAGGUUGGUCUCAAACUCACAACAAUCCUCCUGCCUCAGCCUCCCAAGUGCUGAGUUUACAGGCGUACGCCACCAGGCCUAGCUUAUCAUAACAUUAAAAAAGAAAAAAUGUUAAGAAAAAGUAUCUUCAUUUAUCACUGGAAUCUUUUGUGCUUUUGUAAAAUAUAAAUAAUGAAGACACUGACAUUUUUGUGCUUGUGAAGCUAAUAGAUCAUCUCCACAAAACAGGCAGCAAUGAAGAACUGCAAUGUAUUAUUGAAGGGAAGAGGUUCAAGCCAGUAUUCACACUGCAGUCAGUGAAAGGCUACAGGGGCCAAAGCAGUGAGUUUCUGGAACAGGCCUGAAGGUGCUAUGGGGGAUUAGCAGGAACGGUCUCCUCCAGUGACUGGUUGCUCUUCAGGCUUUUCCAGAUUUGUCAAGCAUGUCUUCUCUAUUUCUGUCCUGUGUGCUUUCCAUUCCAGGCAAAGCUGCUGCUUCAUGUGGGAAGAACUGCUUUUACGCUGGAGUCAAUGAACAUAACAUUCAGCUCUUUGGGUUUUUUUGUUUUUUGUCUUUCUGAGACAGGGUCUCGCUAUGCAGUUCAAGCUGGCCUUGAACUCGCUUUGUAGCCCAGGCUGGCCUGGAACUCGAAAUGAUCCUCCUGCCUCAGCCUCCCAAGUGCUAGGAUCAUAGGCGUGCACCACCACACCCAGCUACAUUUGGUUCUUUGGCUUUCUUCUCUCCUUCCUCAAUUGACACUUGCCUCUUACCAGCAAGUUUUAUUUCCUUCUGGCAUGGUGAUAACAGCGCUUCCUCUGUUCUGAUGUCAUCAAUCCAUUUUGCAGUUUGCUGGAAUGACUUAACAUUUGUGAUACUGUAAACUACUAGGGCUUCAGAAGAGUCACGGAUGUAACUGGGAAUGAGGCUAUGGAAACAUUCCUGACCGGCAGAAUCCCACCGCUCCAGCCUUAUUUCUCUGUCCUCUAAGUAGUCCUUUUUUUUUUUUUUUUUUUUUU